UACGUAGGGUGCGAGCGUUGUCCGGAAUUACUGGGCGUAAAGCGCGCGUAGGUGGUUUGUUAAGUUGGAUGUGAAAGCCCCGGGCUCAACCUGGGAACUGCAUUCAAAACUGACAAGCUAGAGUAUGGUAGAGGGUGGUGGAAUUUCCUGUGUAGCGGUGAAAUGCGUAGAUAUAGGAAGGAACACCAGUGGCGAAGGCGACCACCUGGACUGAUACUGACACUGAGGUGCGAAAGCGUGGGGAGCAAACAGG
RNAcentral lists this ribosomal RNA (253 nucleotides) under uncultured bacterium. RNAcentral's name for it is "partial 16S ribosomal RNA". It matches the Rfam family "Bacterial small subunit ribosomal RNA", at positions 524 to 776 of the family's 1533-position model. The record is from RNAcentral.